This 425-nucleotide ribosomal RNA is filed under the name uncultured bacterium. RNAcentral's name for it is "bacterial SSU rRNA". It matches the Rfam family "Bacterial small subunit ribosomal RNA", at positions 354 to 796 of the family's 1533-position model. The record is from RNAcentral.
GUGGGGAAUUUUCCGCAAUGGGCGAAAGCCUGACGGAGCAAUACCGCGUGAGGGAAGAAGGUCUGUGGAUUGUAAACCUCUUUUGUUAGGGAAGAUAAUGACGGUACCUAACGAAUAAGCAUCGGCUAACUCCGUGCCAGCAGCCGCGGUAAGACGGAGGAUGCAAGCGUUAUCCGGAAUUAUUGGGCGUAAAGCGUACGUAGGCGGUUUUAUAAGUCUGUUGUCAAAGCCCGAGGCUUAACCUUGGAAAGGCAAUGGAAACUGUAAGACUAGAGAGAGAUAGGGGCAGGAGGAAUUCCAGGUGUAGCGGUGAAAUGCGUAGAUAUCUGGAAGAACACCAGUGGCGAAAGCGUCCUGCUGGAUCUCAACUGACGCUGAAGUACGAAAGCUAGGGGAGCGAAUGGGAUUAGAAACCCCUGUAGUCC